GACGAACGCUGGCGGCGUGCUUAACACAUGCAAGUCGAACGGAAAGGCCCUGCUUGCAGGGUACUCGAGUGGCGAACGGGUGAGUAACACGUGGGUGAUCUGCCCUGCACUUCGGGAUAAGCUUGGGAAACUGGGUCUAAUACCGGAUAGGAACCAUCUUUAGUGUGGUGGUUGGAAAGUUUUUUCGGUGUAGGAUGAGCUCGCGGCCUAUCCGCUUGUUGGUGGGGUAAUGGCUUACCAAGGCGGCGCCGGGUAGCCGGCCUGAGAGCGUGUACGGCCACAUGGGGACUGAGAAACGGGCCAGACUCCUACGGGAGGCAGCAGUGGGGAAUAUUGCACAAUGGGCGCAAGCCUGAUGCAGCGACGCCGCGUGGGGGAUGAAGGCCUUCGGGUUGUAAACUCCUAUCGCUAGGGACGAAGCUUUGUUGUGACGGUACCUAGAUAAGAAGCACCGGCUAACUACGUG
Molecule: ribosomal RNA, 466 nt
Filed under: uncultured bacterium
Lineage: Bacteria
Description: partial 16S ribosomal RNA
Rfam family: Bacterial small subunit ribosomal RNA
Source: RNAcentral